UGAGGAAUAUUGGUCAAUGGACGAAAGUCUGAACCAGCCAUGCCGCGUGAAGGAAUAAGGCCCUAUGGGUCGUAAACUUCUUUUGUAUGUGAGCAAUAAGGUCCACGAGUGGUCCGAUGAGAGUAGCAUACGAAUAAGCAUCGGCUAACUCCGUGCCAGCAGCCGCGGUAAUACGGAGGAUGCGAGCGUUAUCCGGAUUCAUUGGGUUUAAAGGGUGCGUAGGUGGCUUGUUAAGUCAGCGGUGAAAGUCAGUGGCUCAACCAUUGAAUUGCCGUUGAAACUGGCGAGCUUGAGUACGUACGGGGCAGGCGGAAUGCGUGGUGUAGCGGUGAAAUGCAUAGAUAUCACGCAGAACCCCGAUCGCGAAGGCAGCCUGCCAGGCCCGUGACUGACACUGAUGC
RNAcentral lists this ribosomal RNA (401 nucleotides) under uncultured Parabacteroides sp. RNAcentral's name for it is "bacterial SSU rRNA". It matches the Rfam family "Bacterial small subunit ribosomal RNA", at positions 355 to 752 of the family's 1533-position model. Lineage: Bacteria; Pseudomonadati; Bacteroidota; Bacteroidia; Bacteroidales; Tannerellaceae. The record is from RNAcentral.